GUCUUGGCCUGGAACUGUCGAGGACUGGGGUUGGACUCGACAGUUGGCGAACUGAGAGACCUGGUAUGGUCUUACAACCCAGCGGUGGUGUUCUUGUCAGAGACAAAGAAGAGUGCAAAAGCGAUGGAGAGACUCAAAUGGAGCAUUGGGUUCUCGCAAGGUGUGGCGGUGAGUUGUGCAGGAAAGAGUGGAGGAUUGGCGCUGUGGUGGAGAGAUCAUGUGAAGGUGAUGGUCAGACCUUGGUGUCAAUACUAUAUAGACUGUCAAAUGGAGAUGGAUGGGCGGAUCUAUAGGUUCACUGGAAUCUAUGGGGAGCCAUGUGUGGAAAGGAGGAAUAAAACUUGGGAAGCUUUGAGGUAUUUGAGGAAACAAGAUGAUCUUCCGUGGAUAUGUGUGGGAGAUUAUAAUGAGGCAAUGCUGUAG
This 423-nucleotide ribosomal RNA is filed under the name Triticum aestivum (bread wheat). RNAcentral describes it as "partial small subunit ribosomal RNA". Lineage: Eukaryota; Viridiplantae; Streptophyta; Magnoliopsida; Poales; Poaceae. The record is from RNAcentral.